Molecule: long non-coding RNA, 428 nt
Filed under: Daucus carota (carrot)
Lineage: Eukaryota; Viridiplantae; Streptophyta; Magnoliopsida; Apiales; Apiaceae
Description: long non-coding RNA (DCAR_LNC006651)
Source: RNAcentral
UAUUUUCUGUGCCCUAAAUGCAUAAAUUGUUAAAUGCUAUCUACAAUUAUGUGAGCUUGCUGAGCAUGUAAGUGCUCAUUCUUGCAUCUAUGUUUUAUCAACUAGCAGUAAAAAGCGAGUAUGGCACGAAUCAAGUUAACCGCUCGGAAGCGGGUGCGAGCUCGGAUAAGGGAAAGGCACAUCACUCCAGCUGAAGCUGCCAGACAACGAAGAAUAGUAGGAACUCGAGCUGUAGUUGUUCUCUUUUGGUUUCAACCCUUUUCAUAUGUAAUCAUAUUAGUAGUUUGGAUGUAAUAUAGACGAUCGACCCUGGACUUGUGGGGCGAGAGUCGGAUAUUGUAUAAUAUUAAUAUCUAUGCAAGUGUUGUUUUGAUGUCAAAUGCUAGUGAUGAGCCAGAUCUGCGGGAAGCGGAUUUGGGGUCGUCACA